RNAcentral lists this ribosomal RNA (274 nucleotides) under uncultured bacterium. RNAcentral describes it as "partial 16S ribosomal RNA". It matches the Rfam family "Bacterial small subunit ribosomal RNA", at positions 523 to 796 of the family's 1533-position model. The record is from RNAcentral.
AUACGGAGGGUGCAAGCGUUACUCGGAAUCACUGGGCGUAAAGCGCGCGCAGGCGGGCUGAUAAGUUGGAUGUGAAAGCCUAUGGCUCAACCGUAGAACUGCAUCCAAAACUGUCAGUCUAGAGUCUGGGAGGGGAAGAUGGAAUUAGUUGUGUAGGGGUAAAAUCCGUAGAGAUAACUAGGAAUACCAAAAGCGAAGGCGAUCUUCUGGAACAGUACUGAGGCUGAGGCGCGAAAGCGUGGGGAGCAAACAGGAUUAGAAACCCCUGUAGUCC